UACGUAGGGUGCAAGCGUUGUCCGGAAUUAUUGGGCGUAAAGAGCUCGUAGGCGGUUUGUCGCGUCUGCUGUGAAAACCUAAGGCUCAACCUUGGGCUUGCAGUGGGUACGGGCAGACUAGAGUGCGGUAGGGGUGACUGGAAUUCCUGGUGUAGCGGUGGAAUGCGCGGAUAUCAGGAGGAACACCGAUGGCGAAGGCAGGUCACUGGGCCGCAACUGACGCUGAGGAGCGAAAGCGUGGGGAGCGAACAGG
RNAcentral lists this ribosomal RNA (253 nucleotides) under uncultured bacterium. RNAcentral's name for it is "partial 16S ribosomal RNA". It matches the Rfam family "Bacterial small subunit ribosomal RNA", at positions 524 to 776 of the family's 1533-position model. The record is from RNAcentral.